GACAAGGUGGCUGAAUAAGGCAUUAGGCUGUAAAUCUAAUUAUAGGGGUAUUAGUCCCCUUCUUGUCA
RNAcentral lists this transfer RNA (68 nucleotides) under Ochotona erythrotis (Chinese red pika). RNAcentral describes it as "tRNA-Tyr". It matches the Rfam family "tRNA". From Rfam's summary of the family: Transfer RNA (tRNA) molecules are approximately 80 nucleotides in length. The record is from RNAcentral. Lineage: Eukaryota; Metazoa; Chordata; Mammalia; Lagomorpha; Ochotonidae.